CUGAUAAAGACGAACCAACCACUGUAAUUGAGUCCGAUAUUUCUGAAUCGAGGAAAAAUUUACCACGGGAACAAGACGUCGAAACUUCUGAUUCUUCUGCUGCUCCAAAAGAGCUAGAUGAUGAUCUUUUUACCAAUGUAACCCAAAACUUCCGUGAAGUCUCGACUCUGACCAAAAGAAGUAUAGCUGAAAUUUCUGAACAACCCGCUGGAAUAGAACCAAACUUAGAAGAUGACAAUGCAG
This is a long non-coding RNA of Drosophila subobscura, 243 nucleotides long. RefSeq lists it as uncharacterized. The transcript is spliced from 3 exons. The record is from RefSeq and is a predicted model, not a curated record. NCBI's taxonomy places the organism in Eukaryota, Metazoa, Arthropoda, Insecta, Diptera, Drosophilidae.